UCUUUUAGGAACAGAUUGAUUUCCCAAUUGGUAGUGCCAAAUUGGCGAAAUACGCCAAGGAGAAGGAAAUAAUUGCCGAGAGGACAAGAAAAAAGGUUGAUUACGUACAGAAAUCAAAAGAAAAAACUAGAAGAUGAAAUGUGUUUUUUGUGGAUUCCUUUGUAUGAUAACACGACGCACGUUCUAGGAAAUUUCCUCCCUCACGUCUGAUAGUGAGAUAGACUCUGUUUACGUACUAUCAUCAAAUCGGAUAUAAUUCCAUUCUAUAUAUAAGAUUAAGAUGAUGAUUAUGAUGAUGUGUAAGUAGGUUUUACUGAUAACUAUCUUAAUCUCCUUUAACCCUACGCAUGCACAUUACAUAACCUCACUUCUAAUCACUUGUUCAUUACAACUCUAGCUCAUGUAGUCUCUCUCUCCCUCCCUCCCUCCCUCCUCUCUCUCUCUCUCUCUAUCUAUCUCUCCCUCUCUCUCUCUGUCUCUCCCCCUCCCCCCCUCUCUCUCUCUCCCUCCCCCUCUCUCUCUCCCUCCCCCCCUCUCUCUCUCUCGAAGAUGUUUCGUAAAGAAUUAGCCGCCUCCAAAUCACUCAACCGCAGCUCCGCGGCUGGAGUACUGAGAGGAGAGUCUAAUUCAGAAUCGCAUGUCCGUCGUGAAUGUGGAGGGCCUGUCACGAUUCCGAAGAAACUACCACGUCAGGCUAGUCCGCCAAGAAGUACAAACAAGAAGCUGACAAAAUUACUGAUAAACGUCAAUAUUCAGAGGAGUUUCGGACCGGUACAUAUAAUCAUAUCGAUCGAAAACACCGUGGGAGAUUUGAUAAAGGCCGCAAUUGAGGUCUACUUGAAGGAGAAAAGACGCCCUUUGUUAACGCACUCGGAUGCUCGUUGUUAUGAUCUUCAUUACUCCCAGUUCAGCUUAGUAUAUCUUAUUUUUCAGAUAUAAUUCACUUAUAUUUGAAAAAGUACGUAAAUAUGUACUUUUAUUUGAUUCUCUUGAUUAGUUCUUUUCUCUGUGGCAUUGUACAUAAGCCCUGAUAUCCAUGGAGGAACUGAAAAAUAUGCAUUAAUUUCAUUAUCAAUGGAUCUUUAUCUUCUUGAGUUGCUAUUUUGAUUCUGAUUUUUACGUCUGCAGCCACACAUUGGUUUAGGCUCACAUGAGAGUGCAUGGUUCUCGUGGUGGUUGUCUACUGAGUGGUGUGUAUAAACCACGGUUUAGGCUCGAAUGAGAGUGCAUGGUCCCUGUAGUUUUGUCCUUUCACGCUUGAAGCCAGAGGAGAAGUUAACAAACUUGGAGUCAAGAAACUUCUUUCUUUGCCCAAAGCCAAACAACAUCAACAGCAACACUACUUCUGCUGCUAGCAAAACAUCUUGUUCCAAUGAAGCAAACACAACAGUAGCUGAUACUCAUGCCGAAGAUUUACAGUUUCCUUGUACUAGAUUCAUGGAUUUCUUGCUAUGAAUCAGACACCAUCUUCACUAUCUACCAUUUUCUUUACUAGAUGGAUGCAUUUCUUGCUCUGAAUUGGCAUCAUUUUCGGCAUUUCGAAAUUUCCAAACCUCAGGAAACUAGAGCCUAAAGUACUUUGAUUUCCUUUGUUUCAUAAUUCAGUAUGAAAAUAGUUGGUCUGUAAUAUGAUUAACAAGUCUGCAGUUUGUACUAAGCCCUGUAUUUUUCAAUGAUUUGUAACAGAGGUGUCUGUUGUUUA
Molecule: long non-coding RNA, 1702 nt
Organism: Daucus carota subsp. sativus
Lineage: Eukaryota; Viridiplantae; Streptophyta; Magnoliopsida; Apiales; Apiaceae
Exons: 2
Source: RefSeq, a predicted model, not a curated record